This is a non-coding RNA of Euryarchaeota archaeon TMED132, 160 nucleotides long. Lineage: Archaea; Methanobacteriati; Methanobacteriota. The record is from Rfam.
CCUGAAGGAUAAGAGCUGAAAGCAUCUAAGCUCGAAGCCACCCCAAAGACGAGACACCUCAGAACACUCGUAAAAGACGAGAUGAUAGACUGCGGAUGUAAGUACGAAGCUUCGGCGACGUAUUCAGUCCAGCAGCACUAAUGUUCGAGCAUCUUUUUCG